CGGUGGCGAUAGCGGUGGGGAAACGCCCGGUCCCGUUCCGAUCCCGGAAGCUAAGCCUACCUGCGCUGAUGGUACUGCACACGGGAGUGUGUGGGAGAGUAAGAGACUGCCGACUU
Molecule: ribosomal RNA, 116 nt
Filed under: Corynebacterium choanae
Lineage: Bacteria; Bacillati; Actinomycetota; Actinomycetes; Mycobacteriales; Corynebacteriaceae
Source: RNAcentral